UAUAGAAAUCGCUAUUUGAAUGUAAUGUGUUUUUCUUGUUUCAUUUAUAUAGAAAUCGCUAUUUGCAUGUAAUGUGUUUUUCUUGUUUCACUUAGAUACAGCUGAACCAUGGCGCAGCCUGCAAAACCAACAGAGAGGGAGGCACUCGAAAGCUACAUCAAGGACACCGGAGGAAGGACCAGAAGACCUGAGACCAAGACGACCCAGACGACCCAAGCCCAACCCGUAGUAUGCUUCACUGACCCAGACGACCCAAGCCCAACCCGUAGUAUGCUUCACUGACCCAGACGACCCAAGCCCAACCCGUAGUAUGCUUCACUGACCCAGACGACCCAAGCCCAACCCGUAGUAUGCUUCACUGACAAAUUUUGAUGUUGAUGCUUCAUCAUCACAUAGACCAAAGGUUUCAGAGAAGGCUGGUAGAGCUCUCUAUUAGUGUGAGCUGUGGGAGAUAACCAAGAACUGACAACCACCUAAAGAAGAGGUGGCGAUAAAGGCUCUCCAAGAGGAGGUUGUGAGUCUGAAGGCUUUUAUUCAACAAGGAGGCACUUACAGGGAAUUCCUGGACCCUGAGAGGACUAAGACGAUAAUUGAGGCCACCCUGAAGCAGUUCCCAGGCCAGACACUCACUCCAGAUUGCUGGGCCAGGCAAUAAAUGCCAAAGUGACAGAACUGAGGUUCCAUAACAAAAACAAAGAUUUUCAA
Molecule: long non-coding RNA, 705 nt
Organism: Alosa alosa (allis shad)
Lineage: Eukaryota; Metazoa; Chordata; Actinopteri; Clupeiformes; Clupeidae
Exons: 5
Source: RefSeq, a predicted model, not a curated record